UAUUAUUCCGAGAUAAAUUUAUCCCUAGGUUAGUAGUAGAUAUCUACUUAAAAGCUAAAAGAUUUGGCGGUAAUUUAAUCUUUUCAGAGGAACUUGUUUUUUAAUCGAUAAGCCGCGAAAUAUCUUGCUUAUUCUUGUGAUAGUUUGUAUACCAUCAUUAUCAGAUAAUUUUUAAAAAAUGAAUUAUUGGGGUUAAGAGAAGUUAAAAAAAUUAGAUCAUGGUGCAGCUAAUGGAUAAGUUAAAAUGAGUUACAAUAAAUUUUUUUAUACGAAUAAGUGAAAGAAUUUUCAUUUAGAAGGAGGAUUUGAUUGUAUCUGAAGUUUAAUAUGCUUAGGAGAAGGUAGCUCUAAAUUAUGUACAUAU
RNAcentral lists this ribosomal RNA (364 nucleotides) under Pinnaxodes chilensis. RNAcentral describes it as "partial 12S ribosomal RNA". The record is from RNAcentral. Lineage: Eukaryota; Metazoa; Arthropoda; Malacostraca; Decapoda; Pinnotheridae.